GCUUAUUUUGUUUUUCAGAUAAAUCAAGAGUUGUGCUUAACGUGGGACAUUAAACACAAAGUAACAUCUGCAUGCCACCCACAAACAAACGGCCUUGAUGAAAGGACCAAUCAAACAAUCAAAAGGGCCUUAAGCAAAUUGGUCAACAACAUACAGAACGAUUGGGAUAAAAGGCUUGAUGGGGUUCUUUUCUCAAUUCGGACCAAAAAAUAGUCGUCAACAAAAUUCAGCCCAUUCUUCCUUCUGUACGGACGGGAAGCGAUGUACCCGAGUCAGUUGCAGACUGUGGCUCUUGAUGACAUAAUAGGUGUAUUGUCCGACCCAGACAUGAUUGAAAAACAAUCCAGUGUGCGAAAGCAACAAACAGAAACCGCAGGAAAAGUUGUACUGGACAAUAUGUCUAAAG
This is a long non-coding RNA of Dreissena polymorpha, 406 nucleotides long. RefSeq lists it as uncharacterized. The record is from RefSeq and is a predicted model, not a curated record. The transcript is spliced from 3 exons. Lineage: Eukaryota; Metazoa; Mollusca; Bivalvia; Myida; Dreissenidae.